UUAAAAUAAAAACUGUCAAAGAAAAUUUUUCAACAUAACAUUAAAAUAAAAUACUUAUAUUAUUAUAAUAAAAAAUAACAACAAGUUUAGCGUUUAGUUCAUUAGUUUUAUCUAUAGAUUAAUUUUCAUUCUGUAAAACGUUUUUAUUGUUUAUCCAAUUUGUUCCGAAAUAUCUGUUGCUUUUGACAUUUAUAAAAAGAUGGCGACGUGUGUGACGCGCACGGUAUGGCGUGCAUCGGCCGCAAUGUGGAAAUCCUCAUCAACAUACCAAAGAACCUUGCUAAAUGCACAUGUCUACCCCAGUGCGCCGAACUCAAUUAUUACUCUCACACAAAAACGAUCCUUGUUCGUUCUGCCUUUUGGGUUGGACGUCGGCUUAGUUGGUUUCGCUGCGUAUUAUUUGACUAAAUUGAAGAAGCCGGAGCCUCAGAAUGUGCUUAGUAUAUUUGGGCCAGAUCCUUGGGGUAAGGAAAGCCAACAGCAUCCAGAGAAAGUGGUGCGAUGUAUCGCCCACAGAGGCGCUGCAUUGGACGCUCCAGAGAACACUAUGGAAGCUUUGAAGUAUUGCGUAGAACAUGACUGCAACAUAAUAGAGUUGGAUGUGAGAGCGUCCAGGGACGGCAAGCUGAUACUCCUGCACGAUGAGGGCUUGGAACGGCUGACUGGCACCGAUAUAUCCAGUGUGCGGACCAUCGACUGGGAUCGGAUCAAGGAUAUUGAUGUUGGCUCUACGCAUCCUAAUAGGAAGCAAUUCAAAGAUGUCCGCCUCUGUCUCCUGGACGACGCUCUAGAUUAUCUGUUGGCGAACAACGUCAAAAUCAUCAUCGACGUCAAAGGCGAAGACAAACAGGUGAUCGCGGGUAUACUGAGUGCGUACGCGUCGCGGCCGACGUUGUACCAGCACGCCGCUGUGACGUGCUUCAACCCAUUUGUACUUUAUCAGAUUCGCAGGAACAACCCGGACAUUGUGGGCGCGCUCAGCUACCGACCUUACUGCUUCAGCUCACAGGACUACGAUGCUGAGAAGGGGCCCAAUAACCCUAGGUUCGGCGACAACCUGGCGCUGCACGGGCUGCUGCGCGCUGCGGACGUAGUGCACGCGCUGCUGUGGCGCUGGGCGGCGCGCUGGUGCAGCGUCAGCGCCGUGCUGCUGCACAAGGACAUCGUCAGCGCGAGUGAGAUCCACUACUGGCGAUGGCUAGGCAUCCGCUGCGCGGGCUGGUGUGUCAACAGGCCCCUGGAGAAACUGUACUGGCGGGGAGUGCUCAAGGCGCCCUACCUGGCCAACACUCUACUGGGAGAGCCCGAUAAGGAGGAGGCGGCGGCGUCCGAGUCCACCUUGCUUCGCACCACGGCCUGAACCAGAGCCGGACGCGAGAGGUCGCCGAGACGGCGAUCCUCAGCCCAUGCAGGGCACACCCCCACCGUAUGCUCCACCGUGUCCUCCGGGUGGUCCUCGCAGUGAUGACACCUGGCCGUUUCCUCCCGCCCUAUCAGAAACUCUCAUAUCCGGUGGAAGGCAAACGUACCGAUAAGGAAUAUAGCAACGACCGCCCGGGUCCGCUCGUCGACAAAAUUCUCGAGCCGGAGAGAAAGAUGUCGUCAGGACAGAACUAAAUUAUUUAUUUAUACACCGUAAUUAUUAUCAUUACUCUAAUUAUUCUGCGGUUUUUACCAUAAUUUGGUCGUAUUUUAAAACUUUUAUUUAGCUUUAAAAUACAAUUAAAAAAUAACACGCUACUAUUCCGUUUUCUGACGUGGUAGUAUCGAUAUUGAUAACGAUAAUUUUUUGUCGCUAAGUCGUGGUGAAAUUCGCGAGUUAGCGACUGUUUUUGACGUAAUAAUUUUGUAAUUCUGUUUGGAUA
RNA transcript from Spodoptera frugiperda (fall armyworm), 1865 nucleotides. It is a transcript of the gene named glycerophosphodiester phosphodiesterase 1-like, with no coding region annotated. The record is from RefSeq and is a predicted model, not a curated record. Lineage: Eukaryota; Metazoa; Arthropoda; Insecta; Lepidoptera; Noctuidae. The transcript has 11 exons.